This is a long non-coding RNA of Gorilla gorilla gorilla (western lowland gorilla), 936 nucleotides long. RefSeq lists it as uncharacterized. The record is from RefSeq and is a predicted model, not a curated record. The transcript has 6 exons. NCBI's taxonomy places the organism in Eukaryota, Metazoa, Chordata, Mammalia, Primates, Hominidae.
UCAGAUCUGGAGACUAACCCUUCUCAUCUCUGGAUGUCAUUUUCUUUCCUACUGGAGACAAAACAUCCUCUCCUUUCUCAGGACUGUUUAAUGGUUUUUCCCUUCAUUGCUGCUUUGUGACCUUCGGUUAAGAGAAUAAAGUUCCCAGACGUCAUGAACUGAUCCAGGGGCAGUGAAAGAAAAAGGAAAAAGAGAAGGAGGGACAGAAAGUGAAACAGAGUGAAGAGAGCAACCACUGUAAACACUCUGUUGUUUCAAUAUUAUUGCCUGUUUUUGACUCAGUUUUCCCCAGUUUUGGGAAAGGAGGGCUGAGAAAUGAGAGGCUGGGGAGAUGAAGAAGCUGAGAAUAAGUGAAACUAAAUGAAUCCUCCAAAAUCGCAUAGUGAAUAAAUUACUCUCCAGAUACUUGCUCUUGGAAUCCAGUCGCCAUGCUCUGAGGAAGUCCAAGCAUCCACACAGACAGCCAGUGUUGUUGCUUUCCAACCAGAAGUCCCAGCUAAGGUCCCAGUCAGCUGCAAUCUACACAAAUGCAGGAGCCUUUAGAUGAUUCCAGUUCUCAGUCAGUGAGUCAUCUCAAGCUUUGGAAUCAUGCUUAACUGAAGUCUCACUGUGGGACAGAGAAAAGCGAAGACCACUAUAUGUUUUGAGAAUUCUUGACCCACAGAGUAAGUGAGCAUAUUUAUAAUCAUUUUUGUUUUCAACCACUGAGCUUAUGGUGGAUUAUUACAUAGUAAUGGAAAAUGAAACACUUAAAGUGAACUCAUUUAUCACUUGAAAUACUGUAAUUUGUUUUCAUUCUGUCACCCUUUCUUUAUUUGACUACAUACAGUCUGUUCUGGAUGAAACAAAGGCAGUAACUUCUUAAGACCUCAGCAUUAUAACAUGUCAACUAUAUGAAAAUAUGCAGAAUUAUAAAGUGAAUAACCCUAUGCACAU